CUAGUACGAGAGGACCGGAGUGGACGCAUCACUGGUGUUCGGGUUGUCAUGCCAAUGGCACUGCCCGGUAGCUAAAUGCGGAAGAGAUAAGUGCUGAAAGCAUCUAAGCACGAAACUUGCCCCGAGAUGAGUUCUCCCUGAGACUUAGAGUCUCCUGAAGGAACGUUGAAGACGACGACGUUGAUAGGCCGGGUGUGUAAGCGCAGCGAUGCGUUGAGCUAACCGGUACUAAUGAACCGUGAGGCUUAACCUUACAACGCCGAAG
Molecule: ribosomal RNA, 265 nt
Filed under: Salmonella enterica subsp. enterica serovar Muenchen
Lineage: Bacteria; Pseudomonadati; Pseudomonadota; Gammaproteobacteria; Enterobacterales; Enterobacteriaceae
Also listed under: 3 other names
Description: partial 23S ribosomal RNA
Rfam family: Bacterial large subunit ribosomal RNA
Source: RNAcentral